This 61-nucleotide transfer RNA is filed under the name Archipsocus nomas. RNAcentral's name for it is "tRNA-Thr". Lineage: Eukaryota; Metazoa; Arthropoda; Insecta; Psocodea; Archipsocidae. The record is from RNAcentral.
GUUUUAAUAAUUUAUAAAAAAUAGUGGUCUUGUAAACCAAAAAAGAAUUAUUCUUAAAACU